This is a long non-coding RNA of Marmota monax (woodchuck), 5576 nucleotides long. RefSeq lists it as uncharacterized. Lineage: Eukaryota; Metazoa; Chordata; Mammalia; Rodentia; Sciuridae. The record is from RefSeq and is a predicted model, not a curated record. The transcript is spliced from 2 exons.
CUCAGCCGGGGAUCCUUCCCCAAGCAGCAGUGUGCCGCCCCUCACGCCCGCGUCCCCGCGAACAUGGACGCAAUCCCCGUGCUGUGACACUGACACCAUGGCUAUGACCUCGCCAGGCCAUCGUGAUCUCCAGGGCCAGCCUGCGUGUGGCCCAAGUGGAUCAAAACGUCCUGUGGGGCUGGGGAUGUGGCUCAAGCGGUAGCGCACUCGCCUGGCAUGCGAGGGGUGCUGGGUUCGACCCUCAGCACCUCAUAAAGAUAAAAUAAAGAUGUUGUGUCCACCGAAAACUGAAAAUAUUUUAAAAUUCUCUCUCUCUCUCUCCUCUCUCUCUCUCUCUCUUAGAAAAAAAAAAGAAAAGUCCUGUGCAGCGUGACUUACAGGAGACCCCAGGGCUGGAGAAUGGACACUGGGUGUGACGUCUCAGGAGCUCACGGUCACGGGUGGAUCCUCCCCAGGGACUGUGCUGUAGAAGGGCCACAGCCCCCAGAGCUUCCCCCGGGCACUGAGCAUGAAGAGGCCAGGAAACAGAAGGUCUCCAAGGGCCUCCACGUGCACCUGUGAGCACCUGCUCUGCCGGGGGGCAGCCGGCACGGGACAGGAGCUCUCUCCUAACUCACAAGACGCUGCAGGGCUGCUCCUCGUUCCUGGCCUUGGCUGUCCUCCUGUGUGACAUGCAGUGCAGAGGUCAAGGCAAAGGACAGGUCCGGUGUCCAGCCCUCCGCAUGCUGUCCUCUUAUGAGCUGUGCCUGGGGCCCAGCUCUUCACAGUGCUGCCCACGGAGAGCCUGGCUCGUGACCGCGUAGGUCUUGCCUUCCAGCGGGGCCUCAUGCUUCUACCGGUUACAACCAGACUCGGGGCCAUUCUGGAUGCCCGCGGUGGCCAUCUCCUUUCCUCUCUCUUUCCCGCCUUCCCUCUGCUCCUGACACGCACACCAGCCCCUCCACCGCUCUCCCCUGCACCCUGCCCCGACCGGGGUCUUUCUGUUUUUAAUCCUCUUCCCUUUCUGAUUCUCGCCGUCUUCAGGAUCAGGACGUCUGCUGCCUUGAACAGCCUGAAGCAGAAGGGUUCCUGGUGGUCACUGCACACCAAGCGGCCAGGGAAGCUACCAUCUUCCUCACUCCCGACCCCAGAGCCCAGGGCUGCAAGGCAGGAGUCAGGGACACCGACUCCGCCACGAACCGAUUUUGGAAUUCCAGCUAAUCGUCUCUCUGUAUCUGCUUUUCUCCCAUAAAUUGAAACAAAAAGGCCUACGUCACUGGGUUGUUCCACAAGUCACUUCUGUCUGGUGAGGGUAAGAGUCCCUGCUCAUGGACACAGAGCCCAGACCCUGUCCCCAGAGCUUCCGGUUCCAAGGUGAGGGUGCAGCCUGAGAACCGGCAUUUCUCUCAAGUUCCUGAUGCUGCUGGCCCAGCAUCUGGGUCAAGGAGCAAUCAAAGGCACAGCCAGAGGAACUCGCCACAUCCCCAGACUCCUUACGGAAGCCUGGACAGCUCCGAGGCUUUCCAGUUGAGCACAUCUGACCCUCUGAAACGAUGCAGCCACCCAUCGUGUCCCUGGGGGACCCAACGCUAAACGAUGCACUUUCCUAACGGGGAGGGGAGGACUGUGAAUGAAAGAUGAAGCCGAGGCCAUUUUCCAGGCCAGGACCCGCAGAGUGAACCAGCCACUAUGCAGAGACAGGGCAGGAGAUGGGGAGGAGGAACCUGGCUCCCGAGUCAGCGCAGGAGUCCAGCAGGAAGGUGCCAUCGGCAGGCUGCAGCCCCACUGGUUACAUGAGCAACAUCUGGAGGGCACAAGUCUGGCCAGUUCAUCAGGAUUUCUGCAUCAGUGUCACUGGGAACCAUUCGUGGCAUCUGACUGGUUGCUGUUAGCCACAGAAAGGGACCGUGUAGCCUUGCUCGGGUGCUGCUAGGUGCUGAGGGUGUGUGGACACUCCACGAGACACUUGCAGGCAGGGCGUCCCUGUCCCACGCUCAGUGACAGGAGGGCCUCUAGGCCCUGGACGACCUGCCUCCCUGAGGCAUCGUGAGUCAGUUUCUGCACGAGUGUGGGGCCCAGGAAGGUCCCUUGUGCCAUCAGUGCUCACCGGGACUCGGGGGCCAUGGCUGCUGUGUCUUCGAAACUGAUGCAACUUCGUGUCUUUUUUUUUUUUUAAGAAUCAAAGAAAUACAUAUUUCAUGGCAAAAAUAAAUUCCUGAAACCAAGCCCUCCCCCCCAUCCCCCCCCAUAGCUGACCCCAAAGGACAAGGCAGGCGCACGUUCCCACAGGAAGAGGAACUUUCCUUGCAGAGUAAAGACACCCUUCCCAGGCCCAGCGCAGACCAGCAAUCGCUGUGCAAGCCACUCCCGUCACACCCGUGCAACUCAGCGUCAACACUGAGUCCAGGUGGGGACCAGAGGACUCCGGGGACGGCGCCAUCGCACUUUCAAGACAUCAAGUCUGUAUCGUUAGUGACAUCCGAGAAGAUACCAGGAAGCUCACGGGAGACCAGUCCCCAGUCCGACUCCUCCCAGCCGGGAGAUGUGAUCACUUCCUUAAGGAGCAUCGCCGUCUCUUCAGUUUCCAGGUCCAGCGGGUGGACCUGGGUCUAGUAUCCACCGUGUCUAACUCAGCGCGUCCACCGACACACGUUCACCGACACACGCACACACCCCGGUAUCUCUGCACUCUGAACUAGCCGCCAUCUGACAGAAACCACCACACUCAUAUGGGUCUGGCCCACAGAACCAGGCCUGGCGGCAGAACCAUGCCCCGUCUGCCCUGAAAAGAAGGCAGCCCGAUGCCCAGGGCAGGGCAAACCCGAAGACGUCACAGAGAGGCCAAAGGCAGGAAGCCAGUGUGGUGAGUCCCGUGUGGAAUGUGCGGAGCAGACGGAUCUGCAGAGACGGAGGGGAGCCCCGGCCUCCCGAGACCAGGGCAGGGAGAGUGGUGCGCGCCAGAGCGUCUCCUGGCGCCUGAGCAACAUGGCGGAGGUGUGGGUGCCAGGGAUCGUGCUCCUAGGUGGUUACGAUACCACCUUUGUGUAUUUUGUCCGAUUUUCUUCACUUAGGCCCAGGGUUGUGUGCCGCACCCUGGAACCCCAGGGGGUCACUCUCCCUCCACCCUGGGGUGAUGCAUGGUGUGGUGCCACUGGACAGCAAGCCCCUCCCCGUGACACGUGCCCUCUUCUGUGGACCGGCAGCAGAGCCCAUCUUUCUAAAGAGCAUCAGAGAGCAGCCAAGUCUUGGUUGCUUUUCCAGUGCUCUCCUGGCGACCUGUGCGCGUCACCUACCUGCUCAACCUAACAGCAAGGAGGCCCCGGGAGCAGCCUUCACACGUGAAACGCAACCCAGGCCCCACGCUCGAUGCCCUGCACAGGGACCCUAAACCUCCACCUCAAGGCCACGCGAGGCCCCCUGCCACCAGGACCCUCUUUACCUGGAAUGGCGUCUGGCUGUUGUAGUUCUUCAGUUCCUUGUUUCCGCCCCGAAACAGGAGCACGCGCGCGCAGCUGUCCUGAAAUCCAAGAGAAGAAGCUGCUGUGACGCCGUGGCCGGGACCAUGUCCCCCAGCCCCGCUCACAGGAGUCCCCGACACCUGCAGGCACAGCGGGGUCCAGGCUCCCACUGCUGGGGCACAGGUGACACCAGUGUGCCCCACACAGGGCGAGGCCUGGCUGCCUUCAGGGCUCACUGUGACCAAGCCACUCCCCCGGGAGGUGGCACUGACAGAACGUCUUGUCAACCUAACGGAUGAAACGCCCACUCUCCUGAGAGAGCGACAGGAAGGGGAACCCGCAGGGGCGUAAAGGGGGGGCCAGGACACCCUCACCCAGGCCACGGCAGGGCCAACGCCGAGGGCCGGGGGGCUCCCAGCAGGGAGGGCAGCCUCCCCCCAAAGGGCAGUUGAGGCCCAUAGUGUGUGUUUUCUGCCUGUUUUGGAGCUGGGGACUGAAGUCGGGAGCACUGCCACCAAGCUACGUCCCCAGUCCCCUUGAUUCUGAGACAGGGCCUUGCUAAGUUUCUGGGGGUCUCGAAAUUCGCCCAGGUUGGCCUGGGACCUGUGAUCCUCCUGCCUCAGCCUCCUGGCCUCUGGGAUCACGGGAACGUCUGCUGCGCCCCAGCUGCACGGGCACCUUAAAAGCUGAGAGUCCAGUAGGAACACAGAGGCAGCGUCUGGGGGACGUGCGGCAGCACCGACUCCCCGGGAGGGAGGGUCAGGGCCAGAGCCGCAGGACGUCCUCCACGGACAUUCACGUGUUUUCACGUUGGGAGGAGCCGCCAAGCCACUUCCUGUGAGUUUUCACAGUGAGAAGGAAUCCACCCUAUUCACUUGGGCCUGGGGCCGAUGAGAUGGGAACCUCCUGCCGUCUCUCCAGAAGUUCCCAGUGAGGACUACGGGACGAACACUACGGAGAAGAAGGCCGAUGGCAGAGAAUCAAAGAACAGGCACUGGCUAUGGACAGGGUCACGUUCUCCCGUGAUUUUGCCAUUGUCCAAACGUGACAGAAUCCACUUACACAAGCGAAGAGGCCUCACACGGCCCCAGGCCACAUAACCUUACGGAAUCCCCACUGCAUGUGGCUGUCGCUGACCGGAAGGCCACAGUGCGCUGCAUGAGAGAAUACUUCUGCCUAGCAAAUGCCGUUGGCUAUUUAGAGUAAGUGUGGCUCUGGACGAGCAUGGAGAUGACGGACGUAGGUGGACAGUGGGCAGCACACAUCAGGCCAGGCAGCCCACUGCGGAGGUGGGCACUUUCCUCCUGAGCCGGGGCCUGUGCACAGCACAGCCGAAUGUCAGGGACCCCACCUUCACCUGCGCUCAGGGACGGGGUCGGGAAGGAUCACCUGGACCUGACACUCCACAUGCUCUCUCCACGAAGGGAUGCUUGAAACAGCCAGCCAGGCCACCACCAGGGAGCUACAGGACACGGCGGGUCGCAGGACCCUGGCCCCAGACCAGGAGGGGAGCCUGCAGUGGGGACCUGCAGGGGCCGGGGUGGGACAGUGCACAGGCCCUAGGACCUGGCAGGACAGCAGCUCUGACAGAGCCCCACAUCCAGAGCAGAGAGCAGGCAAACGACUGCCCAGGCCCGGAGGGCCAGAGGGCCAGAGCACAGCUCACUGCGCAGGGCUCCUGCUGGGAGGGCCAGAGGGCCAGAGCACAGCUCACUGUGCAGGGCUCCUGCUGGGAGGGCCAGAGGGCCAGAGGGUCAGAGCACAGCUCACUGCGCAGGGCUCCUGCUGGGAGGGCCGGAGGGCCAGAGGGCCAGAGCACAGCUCACUGUGCAGGGCUCCUGCUGGGAGGGCCGGAGGGCCAGAGGGCCAGAGCACAGCUCACUGUGCAGGGCUCCUGCUGGGAGGGCCGGAGGGCCAGAGGGCCAGAGCACAGCUCACUGUGCAGGGCUCCUGCUGGGAGGCCCGGAGGGCCAGAGGGCCAGAGCACAGCUCACUGUGCAGGGCUCCUGCUGGGGGCAGUGUCCUGAGGUGACUGCGGCGAUGGGCAGAGAAGGGCAGAGCUCACUGCACUGGGCACCUUACCUGGGGACUGAGCGGCUUGUGACUCACAUCUCAAUAAACACACUUAGGAGAAUGAAA